Molecule: long non-coding RNA, 3928 nt
Organism: Ailuropoda melanoleuca (giant panda)
Lineage: Eukaryota; Metazoa; Chordata; Mammalia; Carnivora; Ursidae
Source: Ensembl
CCUGUCCUGGAGGGGGGCUCUGGAGGCCUGGGGGCUGCGAGCGGGAGGCCUGACGGAGGCCUCAGCCUGGUGGGCUGUGAGAACAUCCUCUGUGAACUCAGAGGUUUUUCUCCAAAGAACCCCCAGGUUGGGUGCCUUACAACUAGUUCAGCUGUGAAAUAUGAUGUUUUAGCAAACAGAAGCCCCACUCCCCGGUGUGAGGUUUGACAAGAACCACAGCACAGAAGAUGUCUAAGGACGUUAACGAGGUGUCAGGAGAAUGAAAACCCAGGAGGCCACCUGGGGUGUCAGACAAGUUGAAUUUCUAGGGGCUUCCUGUUGUUGGUUUGGUCGUGUGCUAGUCAUGGGUGAGAAGACGGGGCAAGAGGGGCGACCCGGCCAUCAGGACACCCAUGGGGAGACCCCCCCGCAGAACUCAGCUCGCUCUCCUCAUGCUGUGCCUCCAGAAGGUUCGGCAGUGUGUUUCAACGUCUGCGUGUGGGUGCCGGCAGCUUCCGGGGGCCAAGCCGCCCCCAGGGCUGGGCUCCAGUGCCCUUGAGAGGCCCUGCUUCUGUUCCCUCUGUGGGCACAGUCCCACCUGGCGGGACCCCAGGGCAAUGCCGCGUGGGCUGGCGGCUCUUUGGGGAGAUGCGGCUUUCACGUGCUUCACGCUCUGCGAGGCUGUUUCCCAGGCCAGGGCUUGUGAGGAGGGCCAGGCGGGGAACUUGGGGAGUGACUACUCUGGGCCUCGCUCCAGGCCGUCUGCUCGCGCAGGGCCUCACUGGCGGCAAUGGGGUCCUGCUCGGCCCAAGCGGUCUGGAUCGGCCCGGUGGGGGGUGCAACACCGAGGGCCGACGGCAAGACGGAAAGGCGCCCUGGAGCCCUGGCAGGCCUUUGGAGGCAAGCGUGACGGAGGCGCGUGGAGUCAAUGCGGGCUGCGCCGUCCCUGCUUGUUUCUCAGUGACCUGACAUCCAUCUGGGACACACUGCGGUUGUCUCCUUACCAUGGAGAGCAGGCUCGUCUUAAGGAAGAAACAGCCAGCUAGGUCAGAAAAAGAAGGGUCACAGAUCAGCUGUUUUGAAAUGAAAGCAAUUAUUUUAGGAAGAUCCCCCACCCUAAAAAUGUCCUUGCUCAGCUGUCCGCGAUGGCAGGGCCUCCGGGUCUGGGCCUGACGGGGAUCCGGGCUGUCACGGACAGCCUUCUGCUCCCAGAAGAGCCUCAGCUCCUCAGCCAAGGACGUAGGAGGGCAUAGGCCAUGGGGCGAGUGGGGCGAUGGCAGCUGGGCCCGGGGUUAACACCCUCCAGCAGAUGCUGCCCAGGUUUCCUGCUCUAGCCCAGCCCUGAGCACCGUCCGAGGUUCCACUGGUGGCCCAGCCACAGGGAACAGUGGAGAUGGUGACGGUGGUGGUGACAGAGGGAACAGCGGUGGUGACAGGGGACAGUGGUGGUGACAGAGGGGACAGUGGUGAUGAUGGGGGGACGGUGGUGACAACUAACUCUUCCACAGUCCUUACUGGAGGCCAGUGCUAUGUUAAGGACUCCACGUAUUAGACCACGUACUGUCCACCAUGAGGCCACGUGGUGGUGCUGCGGUUACUCCCACUUUACAGAUGAGGACACGGAGGCACAGGGAGGUAGUGGCCUCCCCAGGGUCACGGGGAAGGACUCUGGCAAGCUGGCCCGAGUCCGUCCUCUUAAGUGCUCUCUCCUCCAGUGGAGUGCCGGCAGGUUCUGCUCCCAGCCAGGCCAGUGACACGCUUCCUCCUGAGAUGGGACAAUCACCCCCCAUCCCCCAUGAGGCAGGGCUCCGCCAGGCCCUCGUUCUCAGCGGCUCAUCUCGUCUUCUCCCUUCCAGCAGCUGCCUGGCCUGAGACACGAGACAUGGCAUCAGGUGGCCAGGGUUCUGGCAUCAGGGCCCACGCCCCUCUCACACCUGUGCACUCUGGGCACUGGCUCUGGAGAGAUCCGUGGUCUCUGACCUGUGGCUCGGCCUGUGAGGACCCCUUGACCAGCAGCUGUGUUUCCAUGGCAGAGGUCCCUGGCUGGGCUCCAGUGAGAGGAAGUGCAAGCAGGCCCCGAGCGGGGGAGGGGCACGUGCUGCCUGGACAAGUAAACCUUGAGUGGCACUGAGAAAAGACAGAAUGCCAAGUCCUACAGCUGGUGAGACCAAGGGACCGUGCUGGGGAGCUCUCGUUGGGCUGUCCUGGGGAGGAAGGGGCCGGCAGGAGGAGAGCUGGGGCUGGUGGUGUAGGACAAAUCCCGGAAGACCACUGAGGAUCUGAGGACCCCCACCUGGAGCACCCCUGCCACCCCUCCCACCAGCCGGUGGUCGCUCAGCUCAGCCCACUGACGGUGCUGGACGGUCUCCUGUCCCCCUUCAUGCCACUACCCUGCCCCUCUGGCCGGGCUUGCCAGCCCUGGUGACUCUGCUGGUGCCCGGGGCAGGCUGGGCCAAGGAUGGGCACUGGGUAGGCCAGGCCGAGGCCCCAGUGCCCGCGGCAGAAAGCAAGGGCUUUAGGGACAAAGUCCAGAGACCUAGGGAGGAGGCUCCAGCCCUGUUUUGCCAUAGCCGGGGGUCACUCCGUAGCUCUUCCACGGCCCCGCUAGGCAGCCUGUGGGCAGCUCGCAGUGGGCAGCUGCCCUCAGCCCCUGCUGCCUGGGGCCGGUCUGUCUAGAACCCGUGUGUGUAGGGUUGGCCUUUGAAGGGGACACUUAGAGGAGAGAGCGCUGGGUCAGGAAGGAGUCAGUACAUGGGCCGCACACAGGCCCCCUGGGCUGAUUAGCCCCUCCUAAGGAUACCUGCGUUUUUGUCAGAGGCUCUGGUGGAGAGCAGGUGAGUUGGCUGAGCUGGGAGGGAUGGUCUGUGGGGGGCCAGUGGGGACCCCCAAACAACCACCCUUUAAAUUCCAAAUCGAAGUCCUGUCUGCAGAUCCCUUUGUUCCGCUUUGUGCAGAACAGUUUUCUGAAAAUGGCUUCCAACUCCACCUAGAAAGUGCACAACGCACAGCCUGGCUGGGGCAGAGGCUGAGAGAAGGCAGGGCGGGGGCCCCUUCCUCACCUGUUCUCCCCAACUCAGCUGUGCAGCGUGGGUCUGCGCACCCUCCACGCCCUCUGGGGGCCCUCCCUGCCCCAGCAAACACUCACUGUCCCAUCCAGCUCCAGCCCAGACUGCUCCUCCUGUGAAUGCCUGGGAAUGACCCCAGAAGCCCCCCACCUCCCCACAAUAUGUAAUGCCCUUCAGAAGGUCCCCCUCUGUGCACGCCAGCACCCAGCACCUCUGCCCAGGCUGCCCGCUGGGGCCCCUUCUCCCUGGGUGGCUGCCUGCUCACUCAGGCAUCCCCUCCAGGGCACCUUUUCCAGAGGCCUCCAUCCACGAAGAGCCCCUGGAAACACAGGGACAUGCUUGCACCUGGAAUGUCCCCAGCAGUCCUGCAGACUCAAACCCCAGCAACCUGGUCCACAGUGGUGUCCCCAGUGCCCAGAAGGCAUAUGGGGCACGCUUGGCACCUGGGCUGAGCAGGUAGGCAGCCUCUGGCCAUUCCCCCUCCCAGUGCCAGCAGGGGUGGCCUGACAUUUCUGCUGGCUGGCAUUUCUGGCCCCAAGUCAGCCCUACCUAGCUCUGGAGUGGCAGGGCUGCAAAGGCCUGUGGGGGCCUCACAGUGACAGGGAGGGAGCCUGCUGACCCUGAAGGGGUGGUCCUGUGGAGGUGCCUGAAGCCUCCCCAUGGAGUGGAGUCCCUGUAGGUGUCUGCUGGAACCCCAGCCAUACAGAGAACAGGUGCUCCCUAGGGCUCCCUGGGCCUUGAUCCUUAUAGCCCUGUAAAACUGGGGGCGGCGAGGCGCUGCCAGCUCCAGGCGGGCUCCCUGACUCCGCCCGGGCUCCCCUCUGCCUGCUGCCCGCACCGCGCGCCGCCGCCGGAGGGCGAGGAGGAGCGGCGCCACUGCGGCC